GAUGAACGCUAGCUACAGGCUUAACACAUGCAAGUCGAGGGGAAACGAUAUUGGAAGCUUGCUUCCGAUAGGCGUCGACCGGCGCACGGGUGAGUAACGCGUAUCCAACCUGCCCAUCACUUGUGGAUAACCUUGCGAAAGUAAGAAUAAUACCCAAUGACGUCCCUAGAAGACAUCUGAAGGAGAUUAAAGAUUUAUAGGUGCUGGAUGGGGAUGCGUCUGAUUAGCUUGUUGGCGGGGUAACGGCCCACCAAGGCGACGAUCAGUAGGGGUUCUGAGAGGAAGGUCCCCCACAUUGGAACUGAGACACGGUCCAAACUCCUACGGGAGGCAGCAGUGAGGAAUAUUGGUCAAUGGGCGAGAGCCUGAACCAGCCAAGUAGCGUGCAGGAAGACGGCCCUAUGGGUUGUAAACUGCUUUUAUAAGGGAAUAAAGUGGGAGUCGUGACUCCUUUUGCAUGUACCUUAUGAAUAAGGACCGGCUAAUUCCGUGCCAGCCGCCGCUGUAA
RNAcentral lists this ribosomal RNA (508 nucleotides) under uncultured bacterium. RNAcentral's name for it is "partial 16S ribosomal RNA". It matches the Rfam family "Bacterial small subunit ribosomal RNA", at positions 28 to 523 of the family's 1533-position model. The record is from RNAcentral.